AUAGGUGGGUCUCUCUCAACUACAUAUCCUCACUCUCUCUAGUGUGCUCUUUCCCUUAAAAAAACUCCAGAUUGCUUCUUCUCCCAUGUACGUCAAUUUCUUCACUUCAUUCCAUCGGCGUCCUCAUUUACUCACCGCUGAGGGUUUCUUAAAGGAUCAAAUUGUUUUGAUUUUGUUUAAGUUCAAACUUCAAAGAAUGGCAAGAGAGAAGUUUCCGUUAAGAUGGUUUCUUUCCCUUUAUAGUGGUGAAAUACCUGUCUUCUCUUAUUUGGUCUGCAGGUUGUAGUGCUAAACUUCUCUCAUCUUACUUGUCUAUGAUUCAUAAUGUUGUUAUCACCUCCUUGAUAUUUUCCCCCUUCAGUUCUGAUUUGAUAAUACCGUUCUAUGAAAUAGAGCAAGGAAAAUCCAUUGGGAGUUCAUGCAUUGAAGUGGUGCUAAAGGACUCGGCUUUGUCAUAUUGCUGACAAGAAGAUAAGCAGCACUUAUGGUCAUAUUGGGUCAGGAGAGAGGACUCGGCUUUGUCAUAUACUAUUAAUUAUUUUUUAACCUGCUAGGGGAUGAGCAUUCCCUUCUUUAUUUUACGUUACGUACAGCUAAAAGGAUGGUCAUUUACGCCUCUGACUGAAACUGAAAAUCGAAAUUUGAAAUCAACCAUAUUGUUUCAUUCACAUUCAA
Molecule: long non-coding RNA, 675 nt
Organism: Quercus lobata
Lineage: Eukaryota; Viridiplantae; Streptophyta; Magnoliopsida; Fagales; Fagaceae
Exons: 2
Source: RefSeq, a predicted model, not a curated record